GCGGCCGUGGCGUAAUUGGUAGCCGUGCCAGACUUAGGAUCUGGUGUCGAGAGACGUGUGGGUUCGAGUCCCACCGGCCGCA
RNAcentral lists this transfer RNA (82 nucleotides) under Candidatus Enterocola intestinipullorum. RNAcentral describes it as "tRNA-Leu". It matches the Rfam family "tRNA". Rfam says of the family: Transfer RNA (tRNA) molecules are approximately 80 nucleotides in length. Their secondary structure includes four short double-helical elements and three loops (D, anti-codon, and T loops). The record is from RNAcentral. Lineage: Bacteria; Pseudomonadati; Bacteroidota; Bacteroidia; Bacteroidales.